GUCUGAUGUGAAAUCCCCCGCCUCAACCUGGGAGCUGCAUUGGAAACUGGCAGGCUAGAGUCCCGUAGAGGAGAGUGGAAUUCCACGUGUAGCGGUGAAAUGCGUAGAGAUGUGGAGGAACACCGGUGGCGAAGGCGACCCCCUGGACUGUAACUGACGCUGAGGAGCGAAAGCGUGGGGAGCGAACAGGAUUAGAUACCCUGGUAGUCCACGCCGUAAACGAUGACUGUUUGGAGGUAGGGCCCUUCAGCCCCGUCUUGCUGAACUUACGCGUUUAAUCACCCGCCCGGGGAAUACCGGCGCCAGGACUGAACUCCAAUGAAUUUGCGGGGGCCCGCCCCAACGGUGGAACCUGGGGUUUAAUUCCAAACAACCCCAAAAACCCUAACCGGGCCUGGCC
Molecule: ribosomal RNA, 400 nt
Filed under: Enterobacter cloacae
Lineage: Bacteria; Pseudomonadati; Pseudomonadota; Gammaproteobacteria; Enterobacterales; Enterobacteriaceae
Description: bacterial SSU rRNA
Rfam family: Bacterial small subunit ribosomal RNA
Source: RNAcentral